GACGUAGGGCGCGAGCGUUGUCCGGAAUUAUUGGGCGUAAAGAGCUCGUAGGCGGUCUGUCGCGUCGAAUGUGAAAACCCGGGGCUCAACCCCGGGCCUGCAUUCGAUACGGGCAGACUAGAGUUCGGUAGGGGAGUCUGGAAUUCCUGGUGUAGCGGUGAAAUGCGCAGAUAUCAGGAGGAACACCGGUGGCGAAGGCGGGACUCUGGGCCGAUACUGACGCUGAGGAGCGAAAGCGUGGGGAGCGAACAGG
This 253-nucleotide ribosomal RNA is filed under the name uncultured bacterium. RNAcentral's name for it is "partial 16S ribosomal RNA". It matches the Rfam family "Bacterial small subunit ribosomal RNA", at positions 524 to 776 of the family's 1533-position model. The record is from RNAcentral.